This 253-nucleotide ribosomal RNA is filed under the name uncultured bacterium. RNAcentral describes it as "partial 16S ribosomal RNA". It matches the Rfam family "Bacterial small subunit ribosomal RNA", at positions 524 to 776 of the family's 1533-position model. The record is from RNAcentral.
UACGAAGGGGGCUAGCGUUGCUCGGAAUUACUGGGCGUAAAGCGCACGUAGGCGGAUUGUUAAGUCAGGGGUGAAAUCCUGGAGCUCAACUCCAGAACUGCCUUUGAUACUGGCGAUCUUGAGUCCGGGAGAGGUGAGUGGAACUGCGAGUGUAGAGGUGAAAUUCGUAGAUAUUCGCAAGAACACCAGUGGCGAAGGCGGCUCACUGGCCCGGUACUGACGCUGAGGUGCGAAAGCGUGGGUAGCAAACAGG